UGUAGAAUACUUGUUUUUAAAAAAGUUUAAUAGUUAGAGUAUGAAAAAUAAUUUUUUUUAUAUUAUUUGUUAGUAACCUAGAGUGAAAAUUAAAGGUAAUUGGCUAUAGCGAAAAGUACCGUAGGGGAAAGUUGAUGAAGAAGGCUGUAAAAAGUAAAAAUAGAAAUUUGUACCUUGUGUAUCAGGGAAAAUUUAUAUAGGUUAAGUAUUUAGAGAUCUCGAAAUAGAAUAUAGUGAUUUUUAUAAAAUUUUCUUUUUAGAAAAAAAGAAUUAAAUAUAAAAUUAAAAGUGAAAUGCUAGUUGAGUUUUAUAAUAUCUAGUUUUUCUAAAAAUAAAUUAAAUUUAGUUUUUAUACUGUAAGUGUAUAAAGUUAAAUGGCAGGAGGGACUAGCUUCUUGCGAAAAUAAACAUGGAAGAGUUAAAAAAAUAAAAAUUAAAAGUAAAUUAGGCUUAGAAGUAGCUAUAUUUAUAGGGUGUUUAAACUAGGUUAUGUUGGUUAUAUUAUUUUUAAAUAACUUUUUGAGGCAUAGAGAAAAUUAAUCUAAACUUUAAAGAGUAAGAUAUAAUGAUUUUAUUAGUAAAAUUUAUUAAGUAAAAAAAAAAUUAAAUAUUUGUGAAAAUUUAGUAAGGUGAUAUUAAUAUAAAGGAAUUCAGCAAAAAUUUUCUUUGCCUGUUUAUCAAAAACAUGUCUCUUUGAAAAUAAAAAGAGUCAAACCUGCCCGCUGAAAGUUUUUUAAGGGCCGCGGUAUUUUGACCGUGCGAAGGUAGCAUAAUCAUUAGUUUUUUAAUUGGAAUCUUGUAUGAAUGGUUAGACAAGAGAAACUCUGUCUCUUUAUUAAAAAUUGAAUUUAACUUUUAAGUGAAAAGGCUUAAAUAAGUUAAAGGGACGAUAAGACCCUAUAAAGUUUGAUAUAAAGUAUUAUUCAAUUUAAUUGAAAUUAAAGAUUUUAUAAUGCAGUUUAUUUUUUUGGGGUGAAAAAAGUAAAAUGUUUAAUAAUUGCUGUAAAUGUGAUACAUGUUAGUUGGAAUAAAUUUUUAAGAGAUCCUAAAUAAAGAUUAUAAGUUUAAGUUACUUUAGGGAUAACAGCGUUAUUUUUUUUGAGAGUACAUAUCGAAAAAAAAGUUUGCGACCUCGAUGUUG
Molecule: ribosomal RNA, 1141 nt
Filed under: Macrophthalmus erato
Lineage: Eukaryota; Metazoa; Arthropoda; Malacostraca; Decapoda; Macrophthalmidae
Description: 16S ribosomal RNA
Source: RNAcentral